AGCUGUCACAGGGCCCUUCAACUUUUGUCCGUGAACGACAGCAGGAUGAAAAGAUGGGAGUGAGCUCCUUUGAUUUUCGCCGGCUCAAUAGGACCGACCGCGAGAAAAGGGAUGGACCUGUGUUGUGUUCCACGGAGUCAAAAGGAAAAGCUGACGAGGGGAGGCUGGGGAACACGUUCACGAGGGGCGGCGACUCAGCUCUGUUGGAUCUGUCCUCAGGGCGUUUGUGUCCAGUCACAGCGAUACCGCCUCAGCGAGCAGCCUCAACGCUGCUGCAGUGUAACACUCUGAGGCAACUGCGACCGUCAAGAAAGUCUCUCUCUUGCAAUGAAAAUCUCGCCGUAUGAAAUCAUGCAAGAGCUCCAGAUCACCAGUGGCAGCGCUGAAUGUGCCGAGGACCAACUUUACCGUUUCACGUUGAGCGUCGACUAAAAGAAACAGUUCUCAGUCUAAGUAUUCUUGUUUUGUUGUAACUGUUCACCUUCUUAAAGUAAGAUUGUUUUUUUUCUCCCACCGAGUAAAUUGCCUACCAUCUGUUUGACUCUGAGAUAACUAGUUUUGAAAAUGAGAAUACAGUAAACAGAGAGAGUUGUAAUUCAACUCUUUAAUCAA
Acanthopagrus latus (yellowfin seabream) is the source of this 612-nucleotide long non-coding RNA. RefSeq lists it as uncharacterized. The record is from RefSeq and is a predicted model, not a curated record. Lineage: Eukaryota; Metazoa; Chordata; Actinopteri; Spariformes; Sparidae. The transcript has 4 exons.